GCACCAUUAGCUCAGCUGGUAGAGCACCUGACUCUUAAUCAGGGUGUCCACAGUUCGAACCUGUGAUGGUGUACCA
RNAcentral lists this transfer RNA (76 nucleotides) under Bacillota bacterium. RNAcentral describes it as "tRNA-Lys". It matches the Rfam family "tRNA". From Rfam's summary of the family: Transfer RNA (tRNA) molecules are approximately 80 nucleotides in length. Their secondary structure includes four short double-helical elements and three loops (D, anti-codon, and T loops). Lineage: Bacteria; Bacillati; Bacillota. The record is from RNAcentral. RNAcentral also lists the same sequence under 1 other name.